GGCAAGUCUGGUGCCAGCAGCCGCGGUAAUUCCAGCUCCAAUAGCGUAUAUUAAAGUUGUUGCAGUUAAAAAGCUCGUAGUUGAAUUUCGGGGUUAGUAGGCUGGUCAUACCACAGGUAUGCACUGGUCUUACUGAUUCCUCCUUCCUGAUGAACCGUAAUGCCAUUAAUUUGGUGUUGCGGGGAGUCUGGACUGUUACUUUGAAAAAAUUAGAGUGUUUAAAGCAGGC
This 229-nucleotide ribosomal RNA is filed under the name Rhizophagus intraradices. RNAcentral describes it as "partial 18S ribosomal RNA". It matches the Rfam family "Eukaryotic small subunit ribosomal RNA", at positions 554 to 785 of the family's 1831-position model. Lineage: Eukaryota; Fungi; Glomeromycota; Glomeromycetes; Glomerales; Glomeraceae. The record is from RNAcentral.